CCCCAACCUUAAUCCCUCUAUAAAUAGAAGUAAGCGAGGAUCCCUCCAGGUAUGCAAUACUCGCUCUAUGCUGAGACUUUGCUUCUCCUUUCAUUGAGUUUCAUCCUUGACUUGAGCGUCAGAGGGUCCUCAUCGGAGCCACCUCCAGUGGGACUUGCCUUGCAGGUCUCGUCUCCCCCGACAGCUAGCAUUCCAUCAAGAUUCGAUCAUACCGGCAUCAUGCGGAGAUCAUCCCCAGCUCAUGUCUCCAGCCCUCACUUUUGCCCUUGACCAUUUUUACUGUGUCCUCUCUUUGGUGGAUGAGUCUCCUUUUCGAUUUUCUGCCACACAUUAGACGCAUCUACUCGGCUCCAGGCCGACCACCCCAUCAUAGAUAGGCUGCAACAUGAGGUUUUCUUCUCAUGGCUUUAUUACAUAUAAGAGGUUUAGUAGCACAACCCACUGCAUAUGGCUCCUGCAACUACAGAGUCUAGAAUGGAUCAGAUGUAUGCAACUUUAAUCCUACAUGC
RNAcentral lists this long non-coding RNA (509 nucleotides) under Elaeis guineensis (African oil palm). Its description in RNAcentral is "long non-coding RNA (EGUI_LNC004725)". The record is from RNAcentral. Lineage: Eukaryota; Viridiplantae; Streptophyta; Magnoliopsida; Arecales; Arecaceae.